Molecule: ribosomal RNA, 448 nt
Filed under: uncultured organism
Description: partial 16S ribosomal RNA
Rfam family: Bacterial small subunit ribosomal RNA
Source: RNAcentral
ACUCCUGCGGGAGGCAGCAGUGGGGAAUAUUGGACAAUGGGCGCAAGCCUGAUCCAGCCAUGCCGCGUGAGUGAUGAAGGCCCUAGGGUUGUAAAGCUCUUUCACCGGUGAAGAUAAUGACGGUAACCGGAGAAGAAGCCCCGGCUAACUUCGUGCCAGCAGCCGCGGUAAUACGAAGGGGGCUAGCGUUGUUCGGAUUUACUGGGCGUAAAGCGCACGUAGGCGGACUAUUAAGUCAGGGGUGAAAUCCCGGGGCUCAACCCCGGAACUGCCUUUGAUACUGGUAGUCUUGAGUUCGAGAGAGGUGAGGGGAAUUCCGAGUGUAGAGGUGAAAUUCGUAGAUAUUCGGAGGAACACCAGUGGCGAAGGCGGCUCACUGGCUCGAUACUGACGCUGAGGUGCGAAAGCGUGGGGAGCAAACAGGAUUAGAUACCCCUGUAGUCCCAUG